Molecule: ribosomal RNA, 520 nt
Filed under: uncultured bacterium
Lineage: Bacteria
Description: partial 16S ribosomal RNA
Rfam family: Bacterial small subunit ribosomal RNA
Source: RNAcentral
GACGAACGCUGGCGGCGUGCCUAAUACAUGCAAGUCGAACGCACUCUCGUUUAGAUUGAAGGAGUUUGCUCCUGAUUGAUAAACAUUUGGGUGAGUGGCGGACGGGUGAGUAACACGUGGGUAACCUGCCCUAAAGUGGGGGAUAACAUUUGGAAACAGAUGCUAAUACCGCAUAAAACCUAACACCGCAUGGUGUAGGGUUGAAAGAUGGUUUCGGCUAUCACUUUAGGAUGGACCCGCGGUGCAUUAGUUAGUUGGUGAGGUAAAGGCUCACCAAGACCGUGAUGCAUAGCCGACCUGAGAGGGUAAUCGGCCACACUGGGACUGAGACACGGCCCAGACUCCUACGGGAGGCAGCAGUAGGGAAUCUUCCACAAUGGACGAAAGUCUGAUGGAGCAACGCCGCGUGAGUGAAGAAGGUUUUCGGAUCGUAAAACUCUGUUGUUGGAGAAGAAUGUAUCUGAUAGUAACUGAUCAGGUAGUGACGGUAUCCAACCAGAAAGCCACGGCUAACUACGUG